Long non-coding RNA from Girardinichthys multiradiatus, 945 nucleotides. RefSeq lists it as uncharacterized. The record is from RefSeq and is a predicted model, not a curated record. Lineage: Eukaryota; Metazoa; Chordata; Actinopteri; Cyprinodontiformes; Goodeidae. The transcript is spliced from 4 exons.
CUGGCAGCUGAAUGAAGCCAGAGCAAUGGAGCUGACGGAAUAGGGAGAGUGAGAGUUCGGGGAGACCAAAGACGAAGAAACUGUGAAUGGGACACACUGGUAGACAACUGACCAGAGAAAGGAAAUGAAAGAAGAGGAGCAUCCUGUGGAGAUGAAGGACUUUUCAAAAGGAAGCGACAACAGAAAAAAUAGUAAGGCUCAGCUGCUUUCAGGAGGUAAAGUGGAAAUAAGUGCAGUGAAACUCCACAGGAGGCAGUGAGACAUUGAAGGCAUCAUGGGUGACUGCGUAAAGUGCAAGAUUAUGUCAACAAACAGAAGCAGCAGCAACAGUUUCCACCUCCAGUUAAAGUGGAUGGCCAUGUCCUGGUAGCGUUGCCGUUGUGCCAUACUUCAUUUCCAGGUUCAGAUGAUGGAUUGGACAGAGCUUGACCAACAUGAACUUGUACUCGUGGUCUACAGCUUAUGCGGGACCAGGUCGCAGGGUCAGCAGUCUAAAUUGAGACGCCCAGACUUCCCUCUCCCCAGACACCUCCAUCUCCCUUGGGGAAGCCCGAGGCGUUCUCAGGCCAGCCAAGAGAUAUAGUCCCUCCUGCUGUCCCCUAGGCCUCCUCCCAGAGGGAUGUGUCUGGAACACCUCCCGCCACCUCAACUGACUCAUCUCGAUGUGGAGGAGUAGUGGCUUUACUCCGAGCUGCUCCCAGAUGGCCGAGCUCCUCACCCUCUUUCUAAGGGAGUGCCUAGCCACCCUGCGGAGAUGGACUAUCAGAUGUCAUUUUAGUAAAAAAUAAAUGGGGUUGAAGUAAAAUAGUUGAGAUUUUUCAGAUUUCUAUUUAUAGAACAGUGUUUCGUUUUUGAUCCAUUGUGAUUGUAGCCUAACAAAUUGCAAAAAAACACCAAUAUAUUGUCUAUGUAUGCUGUUAUCUUGCUAGUUUUACACCAGAUGUU